This is a non-coding RNA of Trichonephila clavata, 73 nucleotides long. NCBI's taxonomy places the organism in Eukaryota, Metazoa, Arthropoda, Arachnida, Araneae, Nephilidae. The record is from the annotation of a GenBank genome assembly.
UUCCCUGUAGCGUAACUGAUAGCUCGUUGGACUUCUAACUCAAAGGUCUUGGUUUCUAAUCCCAACUGGGAUG